Molecule: long non-coding RNA, 345 nt
Filed under: Monodelphis domestica (gray short-tailed opossum)
Lineage: Eukaryota; Metazoa; Chordata; Mammalia; Didelphimorphia; Didelphidae
Description: lncRNA (ENSMODG00000038257.1)
Source: RNAcentral
CUGAAACUAGUGCAUGAAUUAUAGUGGUUCUUUUACUUGUCUGUGACAUCACUGCAACAGCUGACACUAAUGAAUUGAGUCAUCCAUCCAUCCAUCCCCUUGUUUUUCACUGAGAGCUUCCUGGCAUAUGCAGGAUCUUUGAAGGACACAAAGUUGCCCACCACCCCCUCCCAGUACGAAGUGCAAUAAAACCAAGGACAAAAGCAGUGGAACGGAAACCAAGAAAAGUAAAGUCACCAGAAAAUUGGGGACAUAAGGCAAGAGAAGAAACCAGAGGACUUAGUUCUUCCUCCAUGAACAGAAUUAGAUAGCUGGGUUGAUGAUCCAAAGAUUCCAAAGACAUUA